GGCAGUGUGUGAUAGUUUUCAAUGUGUGACUGUCACACAAGGGGGUGUGUGUGUGUGUGUGUGUGUGUGUGUGUGUGAAAGAGAGAGAGAGGAGGGAGAGAGAAAGAAGAAAUAAUUCCAAGUAUGGGCAAACACAGCUCAUUGGAUUCUCAGAACUUGUUAGAGCUGGAGUCUACAAUGUAGAGGAAGAAAUGGUCUAGUAUGAAGUGAAGCUGGAGAAAGGCAGUGGAAAAUCUCCACCGAAGUGCAAAUCGCAGCCACCAAAACCAGACCUACUGAAUCAAAAUAUAGAGGUAGGUCCUGGGGAUCUACAUUUGUAACAAGUUUCCUAUGUGCUUCUUACACUCACUCAAGUUGAGAUGCCAUCCACGGCAGAUGGUGGGGAAACUCUGAGGGCGUUUCCUCUUCCUUCCGUUCUUAAUCAUUAUUCUUACCAUUGAUUAGCCCCACCCAGUGGACUGAGGGGCUUAGAUCAUGGCUCAGUCUCACUUAGCCAUGACAGUGAUGUGGGCAAGAGGGGAGGACAUACCACCAUCUAUGAAAGGUAAUAGCCACCGCUAUUGACACAUCUGGCCAUUUGCUCUUUAGGCCUUAAUGAUUGACAUGAUCUUGGAAAACAGGUAUGUAGCAAAACUCUCCUAGAAACCUGAAAGAUGUGGCAAGAAGAAAACAUGGAGCCUUUUCUGAACAAGCCUAUGAGAGAAGAAGAAUCACUUCAAUUUAUUAAGUGUGGAUUCUGGGGCUAAAGAACUUACCUACAACCACACAGCCAGCAAAUUACUGACCCAGCAUAUUCUGAACCCAGGUCUUUAUUCUUUCCAAAACUUCACAGCACCUUCCUCAGAGCAUCUCUACAUGAAAAUCUGUAUAAAGAAGUGAUCUGUGGUGUCGCCAUUUGUAUCAAAAUGGUAUCACAAACUUAUUUAAAAGGCUUCAUCUAAAAGUCUUCAGAGUUUUGGCCAGGGAAGAGCUCUAAUAUCACACAUUAAUAACCUUACCUUUGUAACAUGUAAAUUGUUUUUUGUUUUAACAUCUCAGUUUCAUUAAACUGAGACCAGAAAGAGCCAUCAUCUUUUUACCAAUUUGUAAUCAUUUUAUUGUGUUAUGGACCUGCAGCAAUGCUGACUAUAUUUACAAAUCUGUGAGUGAAAUUUUAAAACCAUUUUCCUCUUCUAAUCUCUCCCAUCCUGCCUUCUUAGAAGCACACAAAGCAUCUCAACCACUCCCAAAUUCCCUGUUGGAAUACCCUUAAUGAUUCUGAAAUAUUUUGUUAUUCCCCAAACACCUCCCUAAGACGAAUCACUGGACUCCAGGCUCUUCACAUUGCCAAGUUGAAUCGAGUUCAAAUGUUCUAUCUAACCAAACUCUAACUUACAACAAAGCCACAUAUAGUAGAUGAUGUGUAAGAUAUUCCGAAAAUACCAAGGCAACAGGGAAAAAAAAUCUGUGUCAUCAAGAGGUCCUCCCAGAACUUCUUGUAAUCUAGAAUAAUCAAUUUUGUCAAGCUCCUGUAACCUAAUCAUAGCACACAUGUGUAUAUAUGUAUAACUAAUAACAUAAAUCAACUUUCAUUUUAAUAAUGUAUAGCUUAAGUUUUCUCACAUCCAAAACAAUUAGUGUUGCCAAAUUUAAGAUUAUUUCUCUACUUUAGACAUCAGAACAUGCACAAGGACUUGAGGAAUAAACAAAUCCAAGAAAACAAUCUUAGCCUGAUAAAGUAAAAAUUUUGAAUAAAUUCAUAAAUCAUUUAAAACACAAUCUUGUUAAAUUAGCUAUUUCAUAGUAUGUUAUGAAUGUAAAAGCAGAACACAGAAAAGGCAUUUUCCAAAAAGAUAUAGGACUUAGUAGGAUUUCCUUUUAUGUUAAAAAAUGGCCCAUGGAAGAGCAGUUUUCAGAAUGACCAGGGCAUAGUCAGACACCUCUUUCAUUGGAAGCUUCACCAAAGGGCACACUUCUCCUGAACUCAGAGUUUUGAGUCCAGACCCAGCUCUUGCCAAAGUUCACUGGGAGUUUUGCUAAGCUUCAAGAUGAUCCCACCUGAAAGCUCUUUGGAGACAAAGUUAAGGCCUUCUUCUUGCCGCUGUUGGGUUUAUUUGACCCCAGAAGCUCUGCCCCAUCCUGCCUCUAGGAUGAAUCCUAAGUGGAAACAAAAGACACUAAGGGAGCUCUAUCGCCGUAACGAGGAAUUCACAUCAUGUCACCGUACUUAGUUAGUCCAGCCCUGAUCAUAUGCCUCAAUGCUGGUAACUGGGCAUCUUCUUUCUUCUCCUUCUGAUAAUCAGAUCAAGAAUUCGCCUCCUCUUGAAAGCAUUUUCACAUUCUUGGCACAGGAGAAGAGAAAGUGAGACACAACCUUGUUCCUCCAGAAGUUCACAGAAGAACAAAGGAGACAGUGAUAGAAAUGAUACAUAUGCAAGGCAGCAUUUGGAAAAAUAGAGGACUAUCCGCAGUACGGUGAGAACAAGAAAGAAGAGGUGAGCCCUCUGCCUGGGCGGAUCAGGAAGGUUCCACAAAGAGACAUUCCACUGAGGCCUAAAGAAUGAGGAAGCAUGCACCAGGCAGAUGAGUGGAGAAGGGUGUUCCUGGUAUGUGGUUGUCAGGUUGCCAGACCAACACCCAAGUGUCAAUUUAACCCCAACUGUAGCUCCGCCAGUGCUGCAGGCUUAUGUCAGAAACAGAAAUGGGAUAGGUUUUUGUAGGCCAGCCUGGGAAUACUUGUUUCUGUUGGGAGAUUAGCUCUAAAACCCUCAAUAAAAGAGAGUUGGCCCUGGGCUUAUGCCAACACAUAUGUACCCACUGCCACUACCACCACUCAUCACCUUGGGCAAACAAGAAAAGCAGUUCAGUGUCAGGAGGAACAAUUCUUGCACUUUCACUUUCUUUCACUAACUGAUCUUGUGAAUGCAAGGUCAUGAGUAAGGCCUUUUGGGGACUGCACAUACAAGACAGGUCCACACUCCAAGGAGCUUAACAACAGGCUAUGCUAGGCCAGGUGCAGUGGCUCACACUUGUAAUCCCAGCACUUUGGGAGGCCGAGGCGGGUGGAUCACGAGGUCAGGAGUUUGAGAGCAGCUCGGCCAACAUAGUGAAACCCCAUCUCUACUAAAAAUCCAAAAAUUAGCCAGAUGUGGUGGCACACACCUGUAGGCCCAGCUACUCAGGAGGCUGAGGUGGGAGAACCACUUGAACCCAGGAGGCAGAGGUUGCAGAGAGCUGAGAUCAUGCCAUUGCACUCCAGCUUGGGUGUCAGAGUGAGACUCUUUUUAAAACAAACAAACAAACAAACAAAACAGGCAACAGGCUAUGCAGGCAAGACCCGUGCAUAUAAAAUAACUGAGAGUCCAAGGCAGUAGCUGCCAAAAUAAUGACACAUUCUAUAAGCACUACUGUCCUAGCCAUCACUGCUUUCUGGAGAGAAUAAUUCAAUUUAGUUGAAAAAGUGUUUUACAUUAAAUGCCCACUAAAAGUCUGUUGAUUAUGUAAGACUGCAUUCUGAAUUUCACAAGGCAGGAUCCACCAAGUUCCAUAAAUGUAAAUAAGUUUUCCUCCCAAAAGUAACAGGUUAAGUCAACUCUGGAAAGACUAUGGGGAGUUUAAUUAAUAGGAAUUCUGGUUUACUCAAUACAAGAAACACAUCAAACUGAAUAGGUAUGAAAAAGCAUUUCCCACCAGUUGAAGCUGUCUGAAUUAAAAUGAACCGCCUUGGGAGGUAAUAAGUUUCCCGUCAAGCUAGAUAAUUACUUGGCAGUGAUUUGGUAGGGGUGAUGCAAGCAUUCAAUGACCAGUAGGCUCCCUUCCAGUCCUGUGAUUGUGUGAAUUUCUGCAGCUCCCCCUUGAUAACACAAUAAAACCUGGGAACCCACACUGCAAGGUUUUCAAUGUUGAAGAUUAGCCAUGGGUUAGGCUUAUUCAGGGUACCAGAGCCUAUUCUGAAUGGUGGUGAGGAAACAGAGAAUGGGAAGGUCGAACUUCUACCAAGAACCUGACCAAACUCCCAGGGUGCUAGUCAGUAUCUGGGGAGAGCUUCAGAAUGCCAAAACUCAUUAGUGCUCAAAAAAGGUCAUAGUUAUUAGACAAGGGCACUCCAUUAUGAAGUCCUAACUAAAGAACUAAAAAAAAAAGCCCCUUGAAGACAAGAUGUGUAGGAUUCUAGAGUAUUUUGAAAGGCUCUUCCAAUGCUGACCCCUGAGGGUCCCUCAUGAAUGUUAGCACAUCCAGAUUCUUGGGAAACUCCAAGCAAAGCUGUUGUCAAAGAUGUGCCCAAGAAGAGUGCCUCCAAAAGUAAACAAGCAGGAGAUAGACAAGACAGUUAUACAGGUCUCCUGAGUAAAGUAUACAGGACUGAGAUGGUGAAUGCAGAAGAGGAGUAACAGCCUGAGGGGACCCGGACAACCAAGAAACUGGUUGUUUAAAAUCCUGGCAUCUUGUAAAUUUGUUUGAGUUCAUUGUUGAUUCUGGAUAUUAGCCCUUUGUCAGAUGAGUAGAUGGCAAAAAUU
This 4496-nucleotide long non-coding RNA is filed under the name Homo sapiens (human). RNAcentral's name for it is "HSALNT0031841". The record is from RNAcentral. Lineage: Eukaryota; Metazoa; Chordata; Mammalia; Primates; Hominidae.